UGUUACUUUUAAUUAGAAAAUUUUGGAAUAAUAAUAGUUAUGAAAUUUAACGGAUUUGGCGGCAAGAUAGCCCCUUAGAGGAACCUGCCCUGUAAACGAUGAACCACGAGUACUUUACUUUCUUUAGUAAUUCAGUUUGUAUAUCGCUGUUGUCAGUUAGAUUCUUGAGAAUAUUUUCGAACUUGAUAAAUUCAUUGACUUCAAGUAAAGGUGCAGCUUAUAGGAAAGAUAGAGGUGGGUUACAUUUAUUAGAUUAAUACGGAUUAGAUGAAAGAAUGAGUCUAUGAAGGUGGAUUUAACUGUAAAACUGAUUUAAGUUUGGUGAGAGCUC
RNAcentral lists this ribosomal RNA (331 nucleotides) under Tetraclitella multicostata. RNAcentral describes it as "partial 12S ribosomal RNA". Lineage: Eukaryota; Metazoa; Arthropoda; Thecostraca; Balanomorpha; Tetraclitidae. The record is from RNAcentral.